AUGGGAUGGGUCGGCUCGAGGCUGCUGCUGCAGUCGCCGCCGCCUGCGUUCCCGCUCGGCUCCAACGACGACCAGCUCGAGCGCGCUCGCGCUCGCGCCAUGGCCCGCGCGGCCUCCGUCCGUCGACGCUCCCUUGCCGCAUCUCUCGCGCCCAAGACCCCGCAUCCCAACCUCCUCAACCGGGACGAGGUCAUGGACCUAUUCCAUAACUGCAUCAAACUCGCCUCGGAGAACGGACGUGCCUCACCCACCGUCAAAACCCUACAUCAAAUUUGGCAGAAAAUCAACCAGAAGAAUACGUGGGAGCUGGGGCUCAUCGACCACCUCAGCAAGAUCAUCCAUGCUGGGGAGGAGGAGGACGACGAGACCAACUUCCAGAAAGCUAGCUGCACGCUAGAGGCUGGCGUCAAGAUCUAUUCUCUGCGUGUGGAUUCGGUGCACUCUGAGGCGUACAAGGUGCUCGGCGGGAUCAACCGCGCAGGAAGGGGGGAAGAGGCUGGUGGCGAUGCAGAGCCUGCACAAGAAGAAGGCGUCAACAAAAAGGAUGUUGAUAGGAGGAUUUCACCUGCUUCGACGCUGGAGCCCUCGUUUGAGGCUCUUAAUGUGAAGAAGUUUGAUGCUGCCUUUACGGUGGAUCCUCUAUACCAUCAGACCACUGCUCAGUUUGAUGAAGGUGGAGCAAAGGGGCUCUUAUUGUAUAAUCUUGGAGUAUAUGGCAGUUGUUGUGUGCUUUUUGAUUCGUUUGAAGCGCCAGACAAAUGCAUCUUAUCUGAUCCUGAGAAGGCUGAGGUGAUUGAUCUUUCAUUUGCUAAGUUUGAUGAAGAGAAUAAAAGGCCAUCACAUGAUGCAUCUUCCGGGCAAAUGCUGGUGAUGGAAGAUCAGGUGGUUGACAGUAAUGAUGACAGCAUGCCACCUGAUUGUGGAACUUGGGAUUUUGGUGGUUGUGAUGAUCAGGACAGUGCGUAUGAUGAAAACUGCAACCCAAUGAAUUUCAACUCAACAAACUAUGAAAAGGGUCCAGACGGUCCUGAUGUAGAUGAAAGGCUCGAGAAAAUUGCAGAUUUGUUGUCACUCGGCGCGGGAUUCUCUUCCAAAACAAAUGCUUGGGCUGGACCCGAGCAUUGGAAAUAUCGAAAAGUUAGAGAUCUGGAGCCUGCCCAAGCUUCUUCUGGUGAUUUGGAAGUAGCAAAAAAGGCAAAGAAGAAGAAAGGCAAAGAGGAGCCUGAUAUUGAUUUCACCAAAGCAUUGGAACAUGAGAAGGCAAAUGUUUUUGCACCUCCCAAGAACCCAAAAUCAUUGUUGCUGCCUGCAAAUAAGGGUAGCUGCAACAAUAAACUUCCAGAGGAUUGUCAUUACCAACCCGAAAGCCUUGUUAAAUUAUUUCUUCUUCCAGAUAUUUUGUGUCUGGCUCGGAGAAGAAGAAAACCACUUGAUGAUUCAAGGGGCAACAGCGAUGACUUUAUGCCAUCCAGACAUUGGGACGAUGAUGACCUGGGCAAUGAUCAUGUUGAUGAAGGGGAUGCGGCUAGUGAUGUGGAAGAGCCAGUAAAUCUUAUUGCCAAACCAAGACAGGUCAAUAAGAUCGAUGUACAAUAUGACAAGGUAUCGAAACAAGUCGAUGUUCAUGCCUUAAAGGAAGUGCUCUGGAAUCACAUUCAUACAUCUGCUAAGACUGCUGAUCUGGAAAGAGAUGGCAUAGAACCGUCUCUGUGCCUGACGAAGGUACUGCAUGAUCUUCCAUGCAGUAACAGAGAUGUUUCAACGACUGAAAUCUCGCCACACCUCUAUUUCAUUUGUCUCUUGCAUCUGACAAAUGAACACAGCUUGACGCUGCGCGACUGCCCGACGUUGGAUGAGAUCGACAUAUACAUUCUGACUUCACCGCUUGUGAAGUAA
RNAcentral lists this ribosomal RNA (1896 nucleotides) under Triticum aestivum (bread wheat). Its description in RNAcentral is "partial small subunit ribosomal RNA". The record is from RNAcentral. Lineage: Eukaryota; Viridiplantae; Streptophyta; Magnoliopsida; Poales; Poaceae.